GGACUACUCGGGUAUCUAAUCCUGUUUGCUACCCACGCUUUCGCGUCUCAGUGUCAGAACCGGCCCAGAAGGCCGCCUUCGCCGCCGGUAUUCCUCCUAAUAUCUACGAAUUUCACCUCUACACUAGGAAUUCCACCUUCCUCUACCGUCCUCUAGCUUUGUAGUUUCGGAUGCACUUCCUCGGUUGAGCCCAGGGAUUUCACACCCGACUUACAAAACCACCUACACGCGCUUUACGCCCAAUGAUUCCGAACAACGCUUGCACCCUACGUAUUACCGCGGCUGCUGGCAC
Molecule: ribosomal RNA, 292 nt
Filed under: uncultured bacterium
Lineage: Bacteria
Description: partial 16S ribosomal RNA
Source: RNAcentral